GACGAACGCUGGCGGCGUGCUUAACACAUGCAAGUCGAGCGGUAAGGCCCUUCGGGGUACACGAGCGGCGAACGGGUGAGUAACACGUGGGUGACCUGUCUCUAGCUCUGGGAUAAGCCUGGGAAACUGGGUCUAAUACCGGAUAUGACUCCACGGCGCAUGUUGUGGGGUGGAAAGCCUUGUGUGGCUAGAGAUGGGCCCGCGGCCUAUCAGCUUGUUGGUGGGGGAUGGCCUACCAAGGCGACGACGGGUAGCCGGCCUGAGAGGGCGACCGGCCACACUGGGACUGAGACACGGCCCAGACUCCUACGGGAGGCAGCAGUGGGGAAUCUUGCGCAAUGGGCGAAAGCCUGACGCAGCGACGCCGCGUGAGGGAUGA
Molecule: ribosomal RNA, 379 nt
Filed under: uncultured bacterium
Lineage: Bacteria
Description: bacterial SSU rRNA
Rfam family: Bacterial small subunit ribosomal RNA
Source: RNAcentral